This 496-nucleotide ribosomal RNA is filed under the name uncultured bacterium. RNAcentral describes it as "partial 16S ribosomal RNA". It matches the Rfam family "Bacterial small subunit ribosomal RNA", at positions 28 to 506 of the family's 1533-position model. The record is from RNAcentral.
GAUGAACGCUGGCGGCGUGCCUAAUACAUGCAAGUCGAGCGAACAGACGAGGAGCUUGCUCCUCUGACGUUAGCGGCGGACGGGUGAGUAACACGUGGAUAACCUACCUAUAAGACUGGGAUAACUUCGGGAAACCGGAGCUAAUACCGGAUAAUAUAUUGAACCGCAUGGUUCAAUAGUGAAAGACGGUUUUGCUGUUACUUAUAGAUGGAUCCGCGCCGCAUUAGCUAGUUGGUAAGGUAACGGCUUACCAAGGCAACGAUGCGUAGCCGACCUGAGAGGGGGAUCGGCAACACUGGAACUGAGACACGGUCCAGACCCCUACGGGAGGCAGCAUGAGGGAAUCUUCCGCAAUGGGCGAAAGCCUGACGGAGCAACGCCGCGUGAGUGAUGAAGGUCUUCGGAUCGUAAAACUCUGUUAUUAGGGAAGAACAAAUGUGUAAGUAACUAUGCACGUCUGGACGGUACCUAAUCAGAAAGCCACGGCUAACUACGG